This 851-nucleotide long non-coding RNA is filed under the name Anas platyrhynchos platyrhynchos (common mallard). RNAcentral's name for it is "lncRNA (ENSAPLG00000027213.1)". Lineage: Eukaryota; Metazoa; Chordata; Aves; Anseriformes; Anatidae. The record is from RNAcentral.
UUUUUAUUAUCACAGUUCAGAAGUCAGGAGAAAAUAGUGAUAUUUGACAUUUUUGAUGUAUUUAAUUACAGAUAUUGUGGGGGUAAGAAACAAAACAACACAAAACAAUCUUUAAGGAAGUUAACCAUACUUGAAGGUAAACCAUACUUUGUAAUGCAAGACUGACAAAAUCCGCAGCAUUAUGGAACAGCAUUAUGGCAAUGCACUAAUCAAUGUGAGGAGUCCAAAGUGAUGGGCAGGAUGUAAGCAUAUGAGAUCUGACUUUUGCAGGAUGUAGAAUGUGGUUAAUGGAGGAGAGGAAGAGAAGACAAAUAAUAAAAGCAAGGACCUUUGGUAAAUACCUGGACAUAGACAGUGGGCAAAGGAAAAAAAGAGAACACUAUUGGUAUACCAAUAAGCCUUGGACUCUCCAAUCGGCACUGCAAAAUACAUCAUCCCACAUCACCAUGUGAGCUGCUGGAAUUGGGGGUGUGGGGAGGAUUACCAUGAAAACAAACUCAAAAGCUAAAGCUACAGCAAUUUAGUCCAGUGCUAGCUGAUUAUGUAAAAGUGCAGUAACAAAAGCUGAUAUACUCUUUCCUCCUAAGUUUUCCUAAAUGUGAUGAAUAACUUAAAGCAUCAGUUCUGUUUGACAGUGAAACUCACCUCUUGGUUCCAAAGCAAUGCUGAAAUUUUUAGCAGUCAUGCACACAUCUAACCAAGUAACUUAGCAAGGUAGUCAUGAAAAGGAGUCAUGAUCAAGAUGGCACAAAAACAUCUGGUAUACACCAAACUCUUCCUUUUUCCAAAGCUGACUUGAUAAUUUACUAAGAGCUUUCAAAUAAACAAAUUAAAAAAAAAAAUACCUAUCA